CCAGUUAGAUAAUGGCGGCCUGUUUUUUUUGUUUUUUUUUCAGGUAGAGACUCGUUUUUUAAGAAGAAAGGAAGCAGAAAGCAGUUUUUACUGAGGAAGUGGUAAGCAGCCUAAAAUAGCGCAAUCAGAUUACCAACUCCAGAAGUUGAAAAAAGCCCUAGACCAUAAGAGAAAAUCUUCUGUGUUUGACAGUACUAGCCACAGCUUUAAAAUCCUUUUAAAGGUUCAGUUUCAAAUCUUUCUGCCAUGAUCACAGGACCACCACGGAGACUUGUGUCCACUUAACUGUAACUGGUCUGGAUAUAAAUUGCCGUGUUGGCUGAGAUUAAGAACAGCUGACACGUAAUGUGUUUGUAAGGUGAAGAUCACAAGACUGAGGAUUCCCAGACCGGCUGCCUUCGAGUCUGGAUUUUCCCUGAGAUCCUGGGAAGCUGCAGGAAUUACUUGUCCUGUUGUGUUGAAGAGGGAGCCCGAGCCACCUGCUUGUUGUGGCUCAUUGGAAAACCCUGUGGCAGUGUUUCUCUUUUUGUUUGGACUAUUUGUUUUUCAUUUCAAGCCUCUGCUUACCAUAGCUGGUAACAGAGGCAGUUUCUUGUGGGAGUUAUAAAUAUAAAAACCAACCCCAACUACGUGCUUCCUGUCUCCAUCACUUCUGUAUCACAUCACUUCCUCCCAUAACCCACCACAUGUACAUAACCAAAAAAAAUGAAAAAACAAAAUUUGGAUGUACACAAAAGGUUUAAAUUAAUUUAUUUCAGGAUAUAUAUAUUGUGGCAGACUAGGGGGAGGAGGAGAGAAAUGUAGUCUAGGACAGGCUAAAGGACUACAUUCCCCAGAAUGCCACAGGACAGAACCAGGAUAAGAUUCAGCAAGUGGGUAUUUAACAAGAAAAAAAUGUUUGUUCAGGGCAGUCUGUAUGAAGGCAAGAGGCUGUCGGUGAGAGGUAAAGGUACUGUGGAGAACCGUGUGUUUAACAGUGUUGUGUGUAAGAGGUAAACAGAUUAGCCGUCCGAUAUAGUUGAGGUGACCAUGUGGCUCCGUGUUCACCGGGACAGUUUGGGACAGUUCUGGCUUUUCAACUCGCAACCUGAGGCAUUCUGGUACGUUUUAACCUGUCUCAGGUACCAUUCUUUCCUUUAAUAGAAACAGGACUAUGCUUACCAGAAUGCAUUAAGUUGUAUGUUGAAAAGCCUGAAGUGUCCCAAACAUUCCCGGUGGACACAGAGCCAUAUGGUCACCUCAGUGCAAGAAAAAACGUUAAGUUUAGUACUCCAAGUGGGAGUUAGGUUUUUGUUUACUUUUGUUUGUUUUGUAAUUAAUAAAAGUGCAUGUAAAUGCUUAAAACCUGCAACUCUGAUGUCUGGGUCGGUGUUUCAA
Long non-coding RNA from Acipenser ruthenus (sterlet), 1377 nucleotides. RefSeq lists it as uncharacterized. The record is from RefSeq and is a predicted model, not a curated record. The transcript has 4 exons. NCBI's taxonomy places the organism in Eukaryota, Metazoa, Chordata, Actinopteri, Acipenseriformes, Acipenseridae.